This 265-nucleotide unclassified non-coding RNA is filed under the name Hevea brasiliensis (rubber tree). The record is from RNAcentral. Lineage: Eukaryota; Viridiplantae; Streptophyta; Magnoliopsida; Malpighiales; Euphorbiaceae.
UAAAUUUCCCCUAAUUUCAUGUUUUGCUGCCUUCAAAUGAUUAUGUGGAUGUAAAUGGAUCUUUUCUUUUUCGAAUUUAAUGGUUGUUUGGUGGUGCAUAUAGCUUUGGGGACCAUUUGUUGUUUUGGAGAAGAGUUUGGCUGUGGUUUAACCAUAAAAAAUGUUGUAGAACUAUGAACACAGCUAUAUAUGGGUUGUUUAGUAGUAGAUCAUUCCUGAAAUUCGGUGAGAGGGGAAUUUGUAGAAUUUUGAUUGCAAAAAUCAG